This 1245-nucleotide long non-coding RNA is filed under the name Anas platyrhynchos platyrhynchos (common mallard). Its description in RNAcentral is "lncRNA (ENSAPLG00000021429.1)". The record is from RNAcentral. Lineage: Eukaryota; Metazoa; Chordata; Aves; Anseriformes; Anatidae.
CAGGAACUGCUAGCAGGGGCUCCAGAGGAGACCCCAAAGGGCCACCCCCCGGACCUCGGGCAGCGCCCAGCAGCACGCGGGGCUCUGCGGGGCCGCCACCGGCACCUGCGGACACCCCGCAGGCGGCAGCGGCGCGGAGCAGCCGCAGGCCGGGCGCCGACAGGAAGCGCGGGGGCAGCCCCCGAGCCCUCCCCUCAGCGCCGCCGCGCCCCCGGCCCUGCCAGCAGCCGCCCGCCGCCCCCCUGCCCUCCGCCGUUUCCCCGCGGCAGGGCGGCGCCCCCCCCGCGCCGGGACCUUUCCGCCGCCGCCGCCCUUCCCGGCCCGGCUCCCCGGCUGCCCGGCGCCGCCGCUGCCCCCCUAACGGUCCUAACGGCCCUAACGGCCGCGCCGCGCGCCCCCCGCCCUCACCUGCGCGGCCCCGCCCGCCGCCGGCUGCCCCCGGGGCCGCCGCUGCCUCGCGCGCAUCUCACCCGCCGCGCGGCCCCGCGGCUCGCCCCGCACACGCCAGGAGCCGCCCGGGGGGUGGGAGGGGGGGUGGUGAGGGGGGACGCGGCUGUGGGCGCGGGGGCUGCCGGGAGCCGUAGUCCCGCCGCCCCUCUCAGCCUCUGGGCCGGGCGGGGAGGCGAACUACGAGCCCCGGCGCGCCCCUCGCCGGGCGGGCGCGCGGCGCAUGCGCGCGCGGCCCCGCAAGAGUUUCCGUUACUUUCCUCGCCCUGUGGCGGCGGCUGCCCCGUAACCGCUAACGGGGCGGCGGGGGCGCUGCGCAGCGCUGCCGCCGGCUCCCCUCAGGGGGCUCCUCGGGGCUCACCUCGGCCGGGCGCGGGUGGCGGCCCCUCAGGAGACGCCCAGCCUCGCCCCCGGCCCCAGGGCUGCCUCCCACCCCGGGGUCGGGCAUCCAGCCCGUCCCCGCCGCCCCGGGGAGCGGCUGAGGUGGGGGCGCCUGGCCGGGCCCCCAGCGGGCAGCCGGGGGGCACCGUGGGCAGAAACCCGGAGGGUGCCGGCUCUGGGCCCGCAGCGCGCUGCCUUCGUCUGGCGCUCCCGGGGCCUGGCCUGAAACCCGCUGGGGGUCGGUGCAGGCUCUCCGCUUGCUUCAGCCUCGUUUGCAUCAGCCCCUGCUGCCCGGCAGCUGAUAGGGUCUGUAAGGACGGCUGUGUUCCCGCUGGAGACGGCUUGUUUGAUAAAGAAUUAGCCUGCAGCUUCUCGUUGAAAUCUGGAACUACUUUAAACCCAAAGUGCAGCAGUUAA